UAUGAUGUCAAUUUGUGUCAUUUUCUAUCCAUAUUUAUCUUUUCUAAACUAAAUUUAUUUUUUUAAGAAAAAAUAUGAUCUUUAAACCAAAAAAUAAAACUACGAUUAUGUUCUUUUGUUGGCCAAUUUGUUAGUGUUUAACCUCUUUAAGAAUUUUCAUGGGCUUUUAAAGAUACGACUCAUUGUUAUCAGUGUUGUGAAAACAUAAAAAUGUGCUUGACUCCUAUGAAUGUUUGAUACAGUCAAC
RNAcentral lists this long non-coding RNA (247 nucleotides) under Lathyrus oleraceus (garden pea). RNAcentral's name for it is "Pisum sativum (pea) long non-coding RNA (PSAT_LNC011441)". The record is from RNAcentral. Lineage: Eukaryota; Viridiplantae; Streptophyta; Magnoliopsida; Fabales; Fabaceae.